UUGAAACCAGGACGCCAGUUUUGGCGGAGCCAUCCUUGGGAUACCACCCUUGUAGUACUGGGACUCUAACCAUAGGCCAUGAAUCUGGUCUUGGGACACUGUCAGGUGGGCAGUUUGACUGGGGCGGGCGCCUCCCAAAAGGUAACGGAGGCGCUCAAAGGUUCUCUCAGUACGGUCGGAAAUCGUACGUAGAGUGUAAAGGCAAAAGAGAGCUUGAUUGCAAGACAUACAGG
RNAcentral lists this ribosomal RNA (233 nucleotides) under Clostridioides difficile. RNAcentral's name for it is "partial 23S ribosomal RNA". It matches the Rfam family "Bacterial large subunit ribosomal RNA", at positions 2157 to 2388 of the family's 2925-position model. Lineage: Bacteria; Bacillati; Bacillota; Clostridia; Peptostreptococcales; Peptostreptococcaceae. The record is from RNAcentral.